GCAUGCCUAACACAUGCAAGUCGAGCGAGAAAGUCCUUCGGGAUGAGUAAAGCGGCGCACGGGUGAGUAACACGUGGGUAAUCUGCCCUUUAGUUUGGGAUAACUCCUCGAAAGAGGAGCUAAUACCGGAGAGACCACAGAGACAUCAGUCUCAGGGGUUAAAGAUGGGGACCUUUCGGGGCCUAUCGCUAGAGGAUGAGCUCGCGACCUAUUAGCUAGUUGGUGGGGUAAAAGCCUACCAAGGCUGUGAUGGGUAGCUGGUCUGAGAGGAUGACCAGUCACACUGGAACUGAGACACGGUCCAGACUCCUACGGGAGGCAGCAGUGGGGAAUUUUGCACAAUGGGCGAAAGCCUGAUGCAGCAAUGCCGCGUGGGUGAAGAAGGCCUUCGGGUUGUAAAUCCCUGUCGGCUGGGACAAACGACUUUCUGGUGAAUAAUCAGAGAGAGUGAUGGUACCAGCAAAGGAAGAGGCGGCUAACUCUGUGCCAGCAGCCGCGGUAAUACAGAGGCCUCAAGCGUUGUUCGGAAUUACUGGGCGUAAAGCGGGUGUAGGUGGCGUUGUAAGUCAGAUGUGAAAGCCCUGGGCUCAACCCAGGAAGUGCGUCUGAUACUGCUUCGCUAGAGUGCGAUAGAGGAAGGUGGAAUUCCUAGUGUAGGGGUGAAAUCCGUAGAUAUUAGGAGGAAUACCAAUGGCGAAGGCAGCCUUCUGGAUCGCAACUGACACUCAGACCCGAAAGCGUGGGGAUCAAACAGGAUUAGAUACCCUGGUAGUCCACGCCGUAAACGAUGGGUGCUUGUCGUUGGAAGUGUUAACCCUUUCAGUGACGGAGCUAACGCGUUAAGCACCCCGCCUGGGGAGUACGGUCGCAAGAUUA
This 876-nucleotide ribosomal RNA is filed under the name uncultured bacterium. RNAcentral's name for it is "bacterial SSU rRNA". It matches the Rfam family "Bacterial small subunit ribosomal RNA", at positions 42 to 896 of the family's 1533-position model. The record is from RNAcentral.